GACCCGAAAGAUGGUGAACUAUGCUUGAGUAGGGUGAAGCCAGGGGAAACUCUUGUGGAAGCCCGAAGCGAUACUGACGUGCAAAUCGUUCGUCAAACUUGAGUAUAGGUGGCGAAAGACUAAUCGAACCAUCUAGUAGCUGGUUCCCUCCGAAGUUUCCCUCAGGAUAGCUGGAGCAGAACAGUUUUAUCAGGUAAAGCGAAUGAUUCGAGGCAUUGGGGGUAUGUUACCCUUGACCCACUCUCAAACUUUUAAUGGGUAAGCUCCACUGGUUGCUUAGGUGACGCAGGGGGAGGAAUAACAGCUCUACGUGGGCCAUUUUUGGUAAGCA
Molecule: ribosomal RNA, 331 nt
Filed under: Symbiodinium sp. clade A
Lineage: Eukaryota; Dinophyceae; Suessiales; Symbiodiniaceae
Description: partial Eukaryotic large subunit ribosomal RNA
Rfam family: Eukaryotic large subunit ribosomal RNA
Source: RNAcentral